RNAcentral lists this ribosomal RNA (253 nucleotides) under uncultured bacterium. RNAcentral describes it as "partial 16S ribosomal RNA". It matches the Rfam family "Bacterial small subunit ribosomal RNA", at positions 524 to 776 of the family's 1533-position model. The record is from RNAcentral.
UACGGGGGGAGCAAGCGUUGUUCGGAUUUACUGGGCGUAAAGGGCGCGUAGGCGGCGUAACAAGUCACUUGUGAAAUCUCCGGGCUUAACUCGGAGCGGUCAAGUGAUACUGUUGUGCUAGAGUGCGGAAGGGGCUACUGGAAUUCUCGGUGUAGCGGUGAAAUGCGUAGAUAUCAGGAGGAACACCGGCGGCGAAGGCGGCCCUCUGGAUCGUUGCUGACGCUGAGACGCGAAAGCGUGGGGAGCAAACAGG